UCAGGGCCUGCAGGAGGGAGUUUUCAAGAAAGGGAAGUGGUUGUGGCCAGACAGAAUGAUGGAGCAACUCUGCUAGGACCUGCGUGGAAAACCCCUAACUCCCGCUGUGUUCUCAUAGCGGGCUGUGCAGGCAGACACUGUAGCCACCCCACCCCCACCUCCACGAGAAAGUACCUGGUGUUCACCCUGGGUUUCGCUUGGGACUGUGUGAGAGCAAUGACACAUGUGCUCUGGUGAAGCCUCACACCGGCCGAGUUGCCAUCUUUGGCCACAGAACCUGCCCCUCCCGGAGCAGCUUUGCAUUCAGAGAGUGGUGCCGUCAUCCGGCAAGCCUCUGCUCUACUGCUCUGAGGAUCAAAACCAACUCCAGCUCCACUUCUGUUCAGUUCUUCCAGCCAAGAUGACCAAGAACCUUCCUCAAACACACUCCAGACCUUCAUCCAUGAGUCCAGGUCCCCACUGCGUUUGUUCCUGAUGUGUGUGCUCGUCUUCCACUCUUCUCCAAACUAGAGGCCACUUCCUCAUACCGAGGAACCAGAGUGUAACUUGGAGUGUCCUCAGCAACUUCUCUCUCUACCCACAUGUCCACAAGCCCCAAGUCAUGGAGAUACUGAUUUCUGAGAAGUCCUUGUGUCCCUCUCAUGUACCUCAGGCUGUGAGGAACACCUUGGAACAUUAUUGACUGGUCACACACCUCUGUGCUCAGCCCUGUGCUGACACUGGAGGCACACAGUGGGCAUCUUCGUCCUUAGAUGCCUCAGGUUGGUGGGGAAGGGGUGAGAUAACCGCAGAUCUGAACCUGUGCACUGGUUAUUUGUUUAUUUUUGGUCAACUUGACACAAAUUAGAGUCAUCUGAAAAGAGGAACCGUGAUAGAGAAAAUGCCUCCAUCAGACUGGCCUGUAGGCAAGUCUGUGGACCAAUUUUCUUGAUUAACGAUCGGAGUGGGAGGGCCAGCAGGGGCAGUGCCACCCCUGGGCAGGUGUUGUAUUAAAAAAGCCAGCUGAGUGAUCCAUGGGGAGCAAGCCAGUAAGAGCAUUCCUCCAUGGCCUCUGCUUCAGCUCCCGUCUUGGGCUAUUUAUCCUUAGGGAUGGGCUGUAACCUGUAAGCUAAGCGAACCCUUUCUUUCCCCAAGUUUAUCACAGCAACAGAAAGCAAGCCAGAACAAAGACUUCGACCAAGAUCACGUGGUGCUGUCAUGACAGACAUGAUGACAUUUUAGGGACAAUUGUGGUGGUAUUUGGAAUCUUGAGCUGGAAAAGUCAGGAGUGCUUGGAGCUUACUGGGCUGUUCAAUGGGAGCUUGGAAGACAUGGAGCUGAGAGCAACGCAGAUGGAGGUCUGGCUUGUGAAGUCUCAGGGUCCCUUAAACACUCUCACCAUCUAUUCAUGUGAUGUUGUGGAUUAAGAAUCUGUGGUUUCUGGUCAGCUGGGGCUGAAAAAAAAAGCAUGAUUAACAAGAGACCAGUUCUACUGAAAGAAACCUUUGCUUUACUGGGGCAAUGGAUGCUGGUUAGCUGGGGCUGAAGAAACAGCUGUGAUUACCAAAAGACCAGCAUCAUUGAGGCAAAAAUCUAGAAAGUAUUUCCUUAGGCUCAGCAUUCAAAAGGGUGUGGUCCAGAGGGGCCCAAGGCUGUGUGUGUCUCAUGCUGAUAGCUGAACUUGAUUUUGUCAGCAUGGAAGCUGUGGGGUGGAAGGGGUCUUGAAGAGUAGCUGAGACUUGACACUGUGAGGGUCUAGGGGGGGCCACUGGUGUGGGCUCAGCUUCUGUUGCAGUGGAGGCCACAGACCAUGCAGGGACCCACUAAGGACAGCAGCAGGUGUGAGGUAGAAUUAGUGAGCCCAUUAAUCUUCUGAGCACUGGGGGCCUUUCCAGCUCAAGAUGCCAAACGCUGCCACAAUCCUCCUGAGAGAUCAGCUGUGUGUUGUGGGUAGCAGAGGUGGAGAAUUGGGUUAGCAAGCCAUUUUGGAGCCCAGAAGAUUAUGAGUGAGUCCAAGACAGCAGACACUGAACUUUUCAUAGUGUUGAAUUUUGGUUUUGCUCUGCUAGGAUUGUAACUGUGCCCUGGUUCUUACCUUUGGAACUAAGCAAGCAUGUAACUUCUUUUGGAUUUUACAGGAGCUUUGCUUCAAUUGGUUCCUACCCUGGCUUCCUUUGAUGAUGGGCUAUAACCUAUAAGACAAACUCCUUCUUCCCGAUGCUUUUGGUCCCUAUCCCAUCAUAGCAACAGAAAUCAAACUAGGCCAACUUGCCUUUUCACUCCAUAUAUAUGUUAAAGAGUAGGUCUUUCAGAGUAAGGACUAUUAACCAGUGAGUGGCUGUGGGGAGGCCCUUUACCCCUCUAGACUUGUUUGCUUCCUGUGUCAUGGUGGAACUGAAAAGCAGACAGAUAGAGGUUUUGCAGUUCCAACAAUCUUAAAACUCAUGGCUUUCCAUGUUGGGAAUCAGUGGAAGGAAGACAGAGGCAAGGAGGAUUCCUGACUGAUGAGGGAGCCCCACUCCUGCCAAUGGCCACUUGGGCAAGGUGCGUGGGGGGUGUCUCCUUGUUCUCACCUCUCCUCCCAUGAGGGUGCAAAGUCUUUUGUGGACUCUUGCCUGAGCCCUGCUGAGUUAUCUGACUGGCCUGUGGGCUGGUGACUGGCUGCUUCUUUCUAGCUGGCUCAGGCCUGGAGUCCAGGGGUGGGAAGGGGAGACUUGGAUCCCUGCCCCAUGCGGCAGCAGAGGGCUCUCAGGCAGGCAGGGUGACGUGGGCUUAACUCUCAGCUCUGCUACUUUGUUUCAGCCACUUGACACUGUCGUGUGUCAACCACUAGGUGCCCAGAUAACUGCAGACUCCAAUGGCCACUUAACCAUUGGCUUUCCUGGGUCUCUUCAGCUUCCCCAUUUACCUUGCUGGUCUUAGGUCCUGCUAUCCUCCACGGCAUGUGAUUACAGAUAGAUGCUAUUGGCUCUGUCCCCCUGACAUCUAUGGAGAUUUGGGACAAUGCUUGCCCAUCCGAGCCUCUGUUUGCUUUGUUUUGGGUGGUGCUGCAGAUUGAAUUUAGGGCUACACCUUCAGCCUCUGAGCCUCUACUUUGAAUUUGUUUAAGAUGGAAAUGAUUACUAAUAUAAGUGCCACCUUUCUGCUUUAAGAUUCCUAUUACUUAGUAAAUUCCAAAUCAUACAAAA
This is a long non-coding RNA of Mesocricetus auratus (golden hamster), 3167 nucleotides long. RefSeq lists it as uncharacterized. The transcript is spliced from 2 exons. NCBI's taxonomy places the organism in Eukaryota, Metazoa, Chordata, Mammalia, Rodentia, Cricetidae. The record is from RefSeq and is a predicted model, not a curated record.